RNAcentral lists this long non-coding RNA (1132 nucleotides) under Homo sapiens (human). RNAcentral describes it as "HSALNT0269688". The record is from RNAcentral. Lineage: Eukaryota; Metazoa; Chordata; Mammalia; Primates; Hominidae.
CUCGAGGCCCCGCCUGGGACCCGGGGCAUUUCCUUCCCUCUUCCGCGGCUCUGCCUUCGUGCAAACGACCCUGACCCGGGGACAGCCCGGAUUCUUCACGCAGCCUAAAGAGGCGGCCAAGCCUGUAAGUCUCACUUUGCAGAUGUAGAAGCAGAGGCUCAGCAGGGCAGAUCUCCUCCCGAAGUCCCGGGACCAUCAGAGAUGGUUCAUUUUGACCGAGGCCCGUCUGGUGGUUCGUUGCUGUGAUGUAUUUCGGCAUCAUCGACGCAGGUUCACCAGCCUCAUCUCGACCUUGGAAAUGUUGCGGUAUUUUACAGUGUGUGGUGACAUUUAUGGGCCCAUUUGGACACCCACAAAGAGGUUGAUUUCCAUAGAUUAAAUGUCAAGUUUGAAGCCAUCCAGGGUAAUUGAAUCCUUGAAUGUUGUCCACUUCGAUUCUCAGCUGGGGCCGUUGACUGGACAUUUGUGCUCUGUUACAAACUCUUGAGUGCAGCCCAAAUUGCUUAAUGCCAAAAGGUCACUCUGUGAGUCCAGGGGGAGGGUGUCGGUAGGGAGGACCAUGGCACUGGAGUUUGAUACCUGCAGAAAUGUUGCCUUGUUUUUAUUUCUUUAAAUGAAAGCACAUAUGUGGUUAGUUGGUGAAUACAUUACCGGGGACAGAAGAAAAAAAACCCCACCAACUAAGACUUCCUAGAUGUCAGUUAGUUUAAAAUAUCUAACCAUCUAUGUUUUGUCAAGAGCAAAAGGCUAAAAAGAACUUCACUGUAAUGUUUUAAGUAGGAAUAGUUUUAAACGGCAUUAAACACAUAUACAUAAACUUGGCAUGAGCGUCAUUUAAAUUGAAGGGUAGCAAAAAAGCAUCAAAUAAUUUCUGAGAUAUUGAAACGUAUUCACCUGCUGAUUGUCCAGAGAACAUGUGUGUCUUCAGACUUUGGAUCUGAGUGUCUUGAAUUUUUGUCCUCACAAGGAACUGGAGUUAAAUGGAUCCAAUACGGGUACACCCACACCCAUUUCCUCCACUGGUACGCUGUGGCCAGGAGGCGCGGGCCAGCCUCAGAGGCCUUCCUCACUGGGAUUUCUGGCUUUCUGCAGGUUCAGCUGUCCACACGGUGGCAUGGCUUUCUCAGCUCCA